GGGGCGGAGUAUUUUGAACUCUCUUCAGUAAAGGUUUAUAAGAAAAAUGUGUAUUUUUAUCAUAAAAGAAAACAUGCCUGUCAUCAUUAACAGCCAGUAACUACUACCUCUCACUAUGUAUACUGCAUCAGGCAAAGCUCUUUACAUUCAUAAUUUCACAGUAAAGCGCAUUGUGAACGUUGCAUGACUACAGAUGAGGUACGUAUUUCUAAGUCCCUUUGGCAUAUGGAGAAAGCAAGGAUGUGCAGCCGGUGGUUCUUCACCUUGUUGGGUCACAGAGCCUUCAAGGAGUCUAAGAAAGCUGUAGACCUUCUCUUCAGAAAAAUACUAAUAAGCUCAUUCACACUAAAAUGUAUAGAUGAUUUCAAAGAGAAGUCUGCAGUUACCUGAGGUGGCGCAGUGGUUAAGAAUCCGCCUGCCAAUGAAGGGGAUACGGGUUUGAGCCCUGGUCCAGGAAGAUCCCACAUGCCAUGGAGCAGGUAAGCCUGUGCACCACAACUACUGAGCCUGCAUUCUAGAGCCUGUGAGCCACAGCUGCUGAGCCCAUGUGCCACAGCUACUGAAAUCCAUGCACCUACGGCUCAUGCUCCACAACAAGAGAAGCCACCACAAUGAGAAGUCCGCACAAUGCAACGAAGAGUAGCCCCCACUGGCCGCAACUAGAGAAAGCCUGCACGCAGCAAUGAAGACCCAACGCAGCCAAAAAUAAAAAUAAAACAAAAUAAAUAAAUUUAUUUAAAAAAAGAUACAUCUUAAGAGAAUGGAAAGAAGCCACAGACUGGGAAAGAUACUUGCAAAACACAUAUCUGAUAAAAGAUGUGUAUCCAAAACGUGCAAAGAACUCUUAAAAUUCAACGAUAAAAAGAACUCAAUUUAAAAAGGGCAAAAGAUCUGAACAGACACCUCACCAAAGAGGAUAUACAGAUGGCAAAUGAGCAUAUGAAAGAUGCUCAACAUUGUAUGUCAUUAGAGAGUUGCAAAUUGAAAAACAUUAAGAUACCACUACAUACAUGUUAGAAUGGCUAAGCUCUAAAAUACUGACAACACUAAAUGCUGGAGAGGAUGUGGAACAACAGGAACUCUCAUUCAUUGCUGGUGGGAAUGCAAAAUGGUACAGCCACUUUGGAAGACAGUUACCUAUUUCUCAUAAAGUGAAACAUUGGCUUAUCAUAUGAGCCACCUGUCACUCUCCGAGGUAUUUAUCUAAAUGAAUUGAAAACUUAUGUCCACACAAAAACCUGCACAUGGAUGUUUAUAACAGCUUUACUCAUAAUUGCCAAAACUUGGAAGCAACCAGGAUGUCCUUCAAUAGGUGAAUGGAUAAACUAUGGUACAUCCAUACAAUAGAAUGUUAUUCAUUGAUAACAUGAAAUUAAUCUGAAAAAGAAUGGUUGUUUGUAUAUGUAUAACUGAACCACUUUGCUGUACACCUGAAACUAACACAAUGUUGUAAAUCAACUAUACCCCAAUAUAAAAUAAAAAUUAAAUUAAAAAAAGUGAAAUGCGCUAUCAAGUUUCAGAAAAACAUAGAAGAAGCUUAAAUGCAUAUCACUAAGUGAAAGAAGCCCAUCUGAAAAAGCUACAUACUGUAGACUCCAACUUUAUGACAUUUUGGAAAAGGCAAAACUAUGGAGACAACAAAAAGAUCAGUGGUUGCCAGGGGCUGGGAGGAGGGGACAAAUAGGUGAAGCACAGGGGGUUUUUAGGGCAGUGAAACUAUUCUGUGUGAUAGUUUGUGUAAUGGUGGAUACGUGAUUUUAUGCAUUUGUCAGUACUUAUAAAACAGGGGCUUCUCUGGUGGCGCAGUGGUUGAGAGUCUGCCUGCCGAUGCAGGGGACACGGGUUUGUGCCCCGGUCCGGGAGGAUCCCACAUGCCGUGGGGCGGCUGGGCACGUGGGCCAUGGCCGCUGGGCUUGCGCGUCUGGAGCCUGUGCUCCGCAACGGGAGAGGCUGCAACAGUGAGAGGCCCACGUACCACAAAAAAAAAAAAAAGAAAGAAAACAGUACAACACAAAGAGUAAA
Molecule: long non-coding RNA, 2022 nt
Organism: Orcinus orca (killer whale)
Lineage: Eukaryota; Metazoa; Chordata; Mammalia; Artiodactyla; Delphinidae
Exons: 3
Source: RefSeq, a predicted model, not a curated record